AGAGCCUGAGAAGGGAAGGGAGUGUCGAGAUAAGAUGGGUUCCGAGGUCUGUCUCAGGUGUCGGGUUGUCGCCGGGAUAAUGGACUCGGUAGAGCAGGUGUCGUGAGUCACUGAGACUCGCUGACGAUGCCGGGAAGUCACCGAGCAGAAGUCUCUGGGUCUAUGAUGGGAAGCCGGGUGUAGUGAGGCCUUGUGAAUUUGUCGAGGUGAGUAGUCGAUAGCGGGAUGGCCUUAAGUCGAGAAACUGUCAAUUUCAGGACCGCCUUGGGGUGAGAAGCUGGGACGCGGCGAACUCGCCUCGAGAGCCUGGUUUACGAAUUUGUAGUCUGUGGUUCAUGGAUGAGUGAUGGAGAUCGAGCCCAGAUUUGGGUGCCCAAAUAAGUUUAUGGGUUCACUAGCAGUCGGCGCGUGAGACACUUCCGGGCAGCGACGGCUAAAGGAGAGGUCAGGUUAGACUCGUCGGAGGUCUCUGAACCCAAUUAUGGUGGAGGUAAGGGGCGGUGGCGCCUCUAAAUCAUGGGUGGAGGAGAGAAUGAAAACUCAGAUCUACUUUCUCUCUCCUCUGUAAAUAGGAACCCAACUGCGUAAACUUGAAAACCCAGAAGAGAUAAGGUUUGAUUUGAUGCCAUGGAGGUGGAAAUCAAAGAGAGAAAUGAGAGAGGAGAGUUCUUUGAGAGUGAGCAGAGAGAGCUGCGUCACCGAAGAGGAAGAAACAAGGGUGGCUGGAAAAAAAAAUACGGCGAGAUAAUGGUUAGAGUACCCGUUUGGUAAGCGGGUUCGACUCUCAACGAACCCAGCAGCUGACUUCUCUUGUGUCUUCUUCGAUAUGUGAAUUUCCAUGGCUUCUCUUUUUUGUUGUACCUGCAUUUGAUAAGCACCACCCUUCACUUCCAGAACUUGAUGAGCACCCCUCUUCACCUCCAAAAGGCCAAUACUAUGUUGGAAACUUGGAAUACCUUUGCCCAUUGAAACUUAUCUUUUAUCUCUUCCUCCUGACGCCGCACCCCGACCUACACCUUCGCCAAAUCACGACUUCGCCGUUUAGCCACCAAAUCGGACGCCAUCAGUUCCGUAGGGUUCGCACGGCCACCCCUUCCACAUCUGGGGUGGUGUCGCACAAUACGUUGCACCGGAGAAGAAGCUUUUGGACGGAGAAGUAGCUGGGUUCGUGCCUAGCCGGAGUUCGCGUUUUUCGGUGGAAACUGAUCAAGCACCAUUGUACCCAGAUUUUAAGGCUAGAAGGUGGAUUGGACAGAUUGGAGUUUGUUCUUGGCAACGUCUGAUUUUGGGCAAUUCCGGCCGAUUCCGGCCAAAUUGGGUCAACCCUUAAGUGAUUCAGGGAGUUCAGCUUGUGCUCGGCUUCGUGUGGAGUAAGACAUAGCGAGACUGUGAGGUGAGUAAAACUCACUUUGUUCAUGAAGGAAGCAAUAUUUAAUUUAUAGUUCAUUCUUUCUAAAUUGUAAAAGAUUGCGGUUAUUGAGACCUCCAGAUUUACUCAGUGUACCUCCAUGUCUUUUACACAUUCAUUUUAUUUUUAAAAACAAGCAUUUGCUCAUUAAACCUCUUUUCAAAUUCCUAAAAUAACCUUAAGUUUGUUAUUCAUAUAUAUUUCAAUAAUUUACUCAUUAUACUUUUUAUUCGCUCUUCAGACCUCUCACACUUUAAUUUUUCUUUUUCUUUUUGCAUGCAAACAUCUAUUUUAGGUCUCGAUUGCUUCAUUUCUUUUUUCUUCUUCUCUUUUUUCAUGAAAACCUCUUUCGCAACCUUAAUCCCUUGUUGUUUUUUUUUUGCAUAGAAUGUCAUUAACCUCUAUUAUUUGAUCAAGUUGUAAGAACGAUUUUUCAAUGACAACAAUUGAAAAAAAAAUAUUCAAAUCAUGAAUUGCAAUUGCAACGCAAUAAAAUACACAAAUUCCAAUAUAUGAAACAUUAUUCCAAGCAUCUAUUAAUAAAAAAAUUCUCAACAUAACGAAAAAAUAUUCUAAUGAUCUUCAAGUGUGACAGUCUCGGAAACUGUAGUAACUCUUUCUAGAUGGGGUAUUUGAGUAUAGAGAUGCAAACGAUUAAUAUAUCUACUGUAUAAUGAUUUUGCUUUGUCAUCAGCAUGGCGGUAUCAAUUUGGUGGAACCGGUGGUAAUGGACAUCCUGCUACCAACGAUUCCUAUUAAAAAAAGCAUAUGAUUAGUUUAGACUUUAUAACUAAGCAAAUGCAUAAAGAUGUAAUGAUAGUACUUACUUGCACAAAGUGAUUUCCAUUAACAAAACCAAUACCAAGUUCAGGCAGUUCUUGAUUUUGAAAUCUUCCAAUGAUGUGUUCCAUCAAAGGAAGAAAGGUCAGGCACUGUCCAUCAGAUAAGUUUAUAACAACAACUCCGUAACAAGUAGCAAUCAGAUGCCCCAUAUCAGUUAUACACAUCAAUUUUCUACGUGAUGCAGUGGAUCCAGAAUGGUGAAUUCUUUGUUUGAUUUUCUCAACACCGUCUUCGCUGCCGUAUAGUUCCCUGUACAAGUGAGGCAUACUUUUGAGCUCAUUCAUUAGGUCAAGUCGCACCCUUCUCUAAGAACGCCUACCGAAUCCCAUAAUGGAUGCUGCAACUCUAUAACCACAAUUACCAUCAUCUUCAACAUCAAAUGAACCUAAGAUGUAGGGCCUCAUGCCAAAAAUGAAUUGUGAUGUAUACUUUUGUGUUAACUCAAAUCGUGAAGUGUUUUGACUCAUGGAGAUAGGCUGCACAAAAAUCAAUAUGUAUUAGCUAUUUCAGUUGCAAUUAAAACUUUUACUAACUUAUCAUAUAUCACAAUUGAAAGACAUACUGGAUUUGUCUCUGGAUGCUUGUCUGAUUUUGCUGAAGACAAUACAACCGUAGGAGAAGCAUUAACCUUUUCUGAUAGUACUUAUGACUGAUUUUGAAUGAGACUAGCUUUAGCAAUCUCAAAAACAAAUGGUAGACGAUGAGUGCUACUGUCAAUCUUAGGACGCCCUUUGGUUUUAAUCUUCUCACUUGGUUGUUGAAGCAUUGUCGAACUUGGAGUUAUAAUCUCGUCUAUUUUCAACAAGACCUGUCUAUUUUCAACAAGACAUGUCUCCUCACGUUUUGUAUCGUUAACUUGAAGAAAAAAAAAGGAAGAAUACUAAUCUGAUUAUAAUUUAUUUUAUUUUUUUGGUGAAAUUCAAUGUCUAUUACUGUCAUUUUGUAUGAGGUUAUAUUUGUAAUUCAAUAAGUCAAAACAUGUGGAGGUACACUGAGCAAAUCUGGAGGUCCCAAUAGCCGCACUCUAUCAUUUUCUAGGAAAUGAAGUUUUGUUUUAAAAAUAAAUGAAUUUGAUCGACUACGGUUCAUGGGUAAGUAAAAUGAUUUUCUUUUAAAAACGAUUUUUAAGAGGUUUGCGAAUAUGAACUGUAAAUGGUAAUAUUGGUGAUUAUGGGCGAAUGCCUAUUAUGUGUAUAUUUGUGCCUGGUGAAAUAUGUGCCUUGCUUAAUGUGAUAUUGUGUGAGGAGUGAUGAUGGUUUGAUUUAUCUUUGGUUAUUGUGCGAAGAAUUGUUGGGUUGAAAUAUCAUAUAUCAUAUGUUGAUUGAUAUAUUAUUGUAUGGUUUGAGUCGAGUUGGAAUUCAUGUGUAACUUGGUGAUUGUUCCUGUGUGGCGGUUUUGAUCUUCCUUAGUGGCGAAAAGAUCUUUUCCUGUGUGACUGUUUAGAUCUUCCUUAGUGACGAAAAGAUUUUUCCCGGUUAGGAUGAAUUAGUUAGAGAUCUAGUCUGUCGUCGUGUGGCGUAUGGAGGAUGACAUUGGGUCAUUGUGCUCAUGUGUGUGUCCUUUAAAUUAGAACGAGAGUCUAUAUGCUUUUCUUCUAGUGUUAUUGGCCAAGAGACAUGAUUUUCUGGAGUUUAAAGUUGUGAGUUUACAAGAAUGAUUUUUGAUUUGAUUUUGAGUUGUCGGGUUUUCUUAUUUAUUUUCAUUGAACUCUCUUGGUUUUAGAACUAAGUUUUCAACGCAGGAUUUUCUGAUUUUCCCUUGAGUGAUUAUAUUUUUAGUUGUAUGUAUUCCAGUUUAAAUGUUGUUUUUUAUUAUUUCUCAACUUGUGGAAGUUAUGUGUAAUUGUUGUACGAGUCAUUUCAAUUUGAUUUACUCAUACGAGCUUUAAGCUAACCGGGUUUGUUGUUUUACAACCCGGUGCACAAACCAAUGGUGUAGUCGGUUAUUCCUACAUGUCAUGAUGAGCAGGAUUCAGUCAGAUUAUUAUGGGCAGAUUUAUUAGGUGAAAGAGUUGUGGUUAUUAUUUUGUUGGUUUGUAUAUGCUUUAGAGAGCGUUACAUUUUAUUUGAAUUAUCAAGUUUAAGUGAAACGAAAACAUGUAAUAUUUGACUCAAGGUAUGAGUCUAUUUUGACAUUUGAAAGUUGUUGG
This 4400-nucleotide long non-coding RNA is filed under the name Fragaria vesca (wild strawberry). Its description in RNAcentral is "long non-coding RNA (FVES_LNC003341)". The record is from RNAcentral. Lineage: Eukaryota; Viridiplantae; Streptophyta; Magnoliopsida; Rosales; Rosaceae.